UCUUCCACAUAGCUUUCUCUUUGUUUUCGACAAUUUCCUCUUACUAGGAUUUCUGUCUCCUUGUACACAAAUUGCCUGUUUAUAGGCCUCCUUCAAAAUCAAUACAACCCUCUUUCAAAAAAAGAUGCUUUUGUUUUUACUUUUCUGUUUUGGUUGCGUAAAUGUCCAUUGAUUUAAUUUGAAUUAAUAUGUGCAUUUGAAUAUG
This 205-nucleotide long non-coding RNA is filed under the name Lathyrus oleraceus (garden pea). RNAcentral's name for it is "Pisum sativum (pea) long non-coding RNA (PSAT_LNC027403)". Lineage: Eukaryota; Viridiplantae; Streptophyta; Magnoliopsida; Fabales; Fabaceae. The record is from RNAcentral.